GACGAACGCUGGCGGCGUGCCUAAUACAUGCAAGUAGAACGCUGAAGUCUUUAGCUUGCUAAAGUUGGAAGAGCUGCGAACGGGUGAGUAACGCGUAGGUAACCUGCCUACUAGCGGGGGAUAACUAUUGGAAACGAUAGCUAAUACCGCAUAACAGCAUUUAACCCAUGUUAGAUGCUUGAAAGGAGCAAUUGCUUCACUAGUAGAUGGACCUGCGUUGUAUUAGCUAGUUGGUGAGGUAACGGCUCACCAAGGCGACGAUACAUAGCCGACCUGAGAGGGUGAUCGGCCACACUGGGACUGAGACACGGCCCAGACUCCUACGGGAGGCAGCAGUAGGGAAUCUUCGGCAAUGGGGGCAACCCUGACCGAGCAACGCCGCGUGAGUGAAGAAGGUUUUCGGAUCGUAAAGCUCUGUUGUAAGAGAAGAACGUGUGUGAGAGUGGAAAGUUCACACAGUGACGGUA
This 467-nucleotide ribosomal RNA is filed under the name uncultured bacterium. Its description in RNAcentral is "bacterial SSU rRNA". It matches the Rfam family "Bacterial small subunit ribosomal RNA", at positions 28 to 477 of the family's 1533-position model. The record is from RNAcentral.